ACCAAAUCUAAUAAGAGCAAUAGGUGGAUGCCUUGGUGAUAUCAGGCGAUGAAGGACGUGGUUAACUGCGAUAAGCCUCGGUGAGUAGCAAACAUACUUUGACCCGGGGAUUUCCGAAUGGGGAAACCCGACUGGAUCAACUCCAGUCAGUUAUUACUGAAUACAUAGGUAAUAAUUGCGAACCUGCUGAAGUGAAACAUCUCAGUAAGCAGAGGAAAAGAAAGCGAAUGCGAUUCCCUCAGUAGUGGCGAGCGAAAGGGGAAUAGCCCAAACCGGUAGGAUUUAUCCUGCCGGGGUUGUAGGACUCCAAUGUGGGACUUUAAGUGAUAGGAUAAGCAAUUGGAAAAUUGCGCCAUAGGAGGUGAUAGCCCUGUUUCCGAAAUUACAAGAAGCCCUAGGAUGUUCCUGAGUAGCAUGGGACACGUGAAACCCUGUGUGAAUCUACGCGGACCACCGCGUAAGGCUAAAUACUCGAUAUCAACCGAUAGUGAACAAGUACCGUGAGGGAAAGGUGAAAAGAACCCCUGUUAGGGGAGUGAAAUAGUACCUGAAACCUAUUGCUUACAAGCGGUCGGAGCCCCUUCGUGGGGUGACGGCGUACCUUUUGUAUAAUGGGUCUGGGAGUUAUUGUCUAUAGCAAGCUUAAGGGCUUACAGCCUGGAGGCGUAGUGAAAGCGAGCCUGAAUAGGGCGAUUAGUUGUGGGCAAUAGACCCGAAGCGGAGGUGAUCUACCCAUGGCCAGGUUGAAACUCGAGUAAAAUCGAGGGGAGGACCGAACCGGUGAACCUUGAGACGUUCUCGGAUGAGCUGUGGGUAGGAGUGAAAGGCUAAUCAAACCCCGUAAUAGCUGGUUCUCUUCGAAAUAUAUUUAGGUAUAGCCUCGUGCGCUGACAAUCGGGGGUAGAGCACUGAAAAGGAUAGGGCCCAUACCAGGGUACCAAACCUUAUCAAACUCCGAAUACCGAUUGGUGUAGCACGGGAGUCAGUCUGUGGGGGAUAAGCUCCAUGGACGAGAGGGAAACAGCCCAGACCACCAAUUAAGGCCCCUAAAUCACUGCUAAGUGGAAUUAAGGAAGUGAAUCUACAUAAACAAUAGGGAUGUUGGCUUAGAAGCAGCCAUCAUUUAAACAGUGCGUAAUAGCUGACCUAUCGAGUGGAUUUGCGCCGAAAAUGAUCGGGACUCAAGCAGUGUGCCGAAAUUGUGGGUUCUAUGUUUUUUUACAUAGAGCAGUAGAAGAGCGUUCCAGUUGGGCUGAAGCCGAAGGGUAACCGAAGGUGGACUGACUGGAAGUGAGAAUCCAGACAUAAGUAACGAUAAUAAUGGUUAAAAUCCAUUUCGCCGUAAGGAUAAGGUUUCCUGUUUAAAGUUCGUCUGAGCAGGGUUAGUCAGGAGCUAAGGCGAGGCCGUAAGGAGUAGUCGAUGCACAACAGGUUAAUAUUCCUGUACUCCCUUGUAUGCGUUAUCACUUUCGGAGUGACGGAGAAAGUUAGUUCAGCAUGGUGUUGAAUGUCCAUGUCUAAGCGUUUAGGCUGUUCGGUCAGGUAAAUCCGCCGAACAUUAAAGCUGAGGCGUUAUGGGAUCCGGAGGCUACGGCCAAAGGCGAUUGAAUGAUACUAUGCUUCCAAGAAAAGCUUCGUUAGGAGUCUACAAGGGACCUGUACCGCAAACCGACACAGGUAUCCGGGAUGAGUAUUCUCAGGCGCGUGAGUGAAAUCUCCUCAAGGAACUCGGCAAAUUAGCCCCGUAUCUUCGGUAGAAGGGGCGCCUACUUCGGUAGGUCGCAGAAAAGAGAUCCAAUCGACUGUUUAGCAAAAACACAGCUCUCUGCUAAGUCGUAAGACAACGUAUAGAGAGUGACACGUGACCAAUGCGGAAAGGUGAAUGCUGGAGGUGCAAGCUUCUGGUUCAAGCCCCCGUGAAUGUCGGCCGUAACUAUAACGGUCCUAAGGUAGCGAAAUUCCUUGUCGGGUAAGUUCCGACCUGCACGAAUCGUGUAACGAAUUGGAUGCUGUCUCGAGGAGAUGCUCAGUGAAAUUGUAGUCGCGGUUAAGAUGCCGCGUUCCCGCAGCAGGACGGAAAGACCCUAUGGACCUUUACUGUAACCUGGUAUUGUUAUUUGAUUUUCAAUGCGUAGCAUAGGUGGGAGACUUUGAAGCCAUUCUCCAGGGAAUGGCAGAGUCAACGGUGAAAUACCACUCUUUGUUUGUUAAAUAUCUAACGUUGUGCCGUUAUCCGGCCAAUGGACAGUGCUAGGGGGUCAGUUUGACUGGGGCGGUCUCCUCCUAAAGAGUAACGGAGGAUUGCGAAGGUUUCCUCAAGUCGGUCGGCAAUCGACUGGAGAGCGUAUGAGUACAAGGAAGCUUUACUGUGAGACCUACAAGUCGAUCAGUUGCGAAAGCAGGCUCAAGUGGUCCGGUAGUAGGACGUGGAACCGCUAUCGCUUAAAGGAAAAAAGGUACCCUAGGGAUAACAGGCUGAUCGCGCCCAAGCGUUCACAGCGACGGCGCGGUUUGGCACCUCGAUGUCGGCUCAUCACAUCCUGGGGCUGAAGAAGGUCCCAAGGGUUCGGCUGUUCGCCGAUUAAAGUGGUACGCGAGCUGGGUUCAGAACGUCGUGAGACAGUUCGGUUCUCUAUCCGCUGCGGGCGUUGGAGAUUUGAGGGGUUCAUUUCCUAGUACGAGAGGACCGGAAAUGACGUGCCUCUGGUGUACCGGUUAUCACGUCAGUGGUAUCGCCGGGUAGCUAAGCACGGAAGAGAUAAGCGCUGAAAGCAUCUAAGCGCCAAGCUCCUCCCAAGAUGAGAUCUCCUUUGGAAUUUAUUCCAUAAAGGAUCCUGGUAGACCACCAGGUUGAUAGGCUAGAUGUGUAAGUAGGGUAACCUAUUGAGCUUACUAGUACUAAUGAUCCAAACGAUUUGACUC
Verrucomicrobia bacterium CG1_02_43_26 is the source of this 2922-nucleotide non-coding RNA. NCBI's taxonomy places the organism in Bacteria, Pseudomonadati, Verrucomicrobiota. The record is from Rfam.